UAAUGGUAUACUCAAAUUGUGAACAGCAUC
RNAcentral lists this non-coding RNA (30 nucleotides) under Cricetulus griseus (Chinese hamster). Lineage: Eukaryota; Metazoa; Chordata; Mammalia; Rodentia; Cricetidae. The record is from RNAcentral.